CGGGGGGAGCAAGCGUUGUUCGGAUUUACUGGGCGUAAAGGGCGCGUAGGCGGCCUCUGCAAGUCGACUGUGAAAUCUCCGGGCUUAACCCGGAACGGUCAGCCGAUACUGCAGGGCUAGAGUGCAGAAGGGGCAACUGGAAUUCUCGGUGUAGCGGUGAAAUGCGUAGAUAUCGAGAGGAACACCUGCGGCGAAGGCGGGUUGCUGGGCUGACACUGACGCUGAGGCGCGAAAGCUAGGGGAGCGAACGGGAUUAGGUACCCCGGUAGUCCUAGCCUUAAACGAUGAAUGCUUGGUGUCUGGGGUUUUAUAGUCCCCGGGUGCCGUCGCUAACGCUUUAAGCAUUCCGCCUGGGGAGUACGGUCGCAAGACUG
RNAcentral lists this ribosomal RNA (374 nucleotides) under uncultured organism. RNAcentral's name for it is "bacterial SSU rRNA". It matches the Rfam family "Bacterial small subunit ribosomal RNA", at positions 526 to 896 of the family's 1533-position model. The record is from RNAcentral.